AUGUGACACAUUUCGAAUUUCGAGAUUCAAACAAGUCUAUCUUUGACUGUAAAUUUUUCAUAUAUCUUUUUAAUAUUUUGAAUUAUCAAUUAUUGUGACUUAUAGUACUUUUUAUGUAGUUUACAAAUAUAUGAAUUUCAUUUUUAAAAAAUUUGAAGAUUUCACGAGCAAAUUCUCGGUCAAACUUAAACUGUUUGACUCUCGAAAAGCGAAAUGUGUCACAUAA
This is a non-coding RNA of Solanum tuberosum (potato), 226 nucleotides long. Lineage: Eukaryota; Viridiplantae; Streptophyta; Magnoliopsida; Solanales; Solanaceae. The record is from Rfam.